UUUCUCAGAGAGAAGAGGAAGGGUUGGUUGGUGUUGGGGUUGUCGCCGGCGACGGAGUUGGAAGUGCGGUGGCGGUGGAGCUGAGAUGGGGUUGUCAAAGUUAGGAAUGUUCUCAGGCGGAGGAGGUCGCCGGCGCCGGAGUUGGAGGUGGAGAGGAGGCGGUGGUGGUGGAGCAGAGAAAGAGAACGAGAAGGGUUAGUCAAAGUGUGGAUUGUUCUGAGACGGAGGAGGAAAGCCAUGGCUGAAGAAGAAGAAGAAGAGGAGGCACCAGCUGUCAUGUGAGAGUGGUGAAGAAGAAAAUGAAAAUGUGAGAUCCUAUGCUACAAUACAAAACUGUAAUAUUUUCAAGAAAAUACCUAAACUAGGGGACAAACACAAGAAUGUCAUUUUGUUUUUAUAUAUGGUUGACUUAGGUUGGAUAAAUAAGAAAUUCUAGCCAAGUAGUCAAUAAGCUCUCUAUAUCCCCAUUUAAGGGAUGAUGUAAUUGGGAUAGCUAUAUCCAAACUAGUGGUGUAAUCUUGUUUUUUUGGGCUUUCGCCCCCUUUAUUAUCAAAAAAUUGGAGGUGGAGAGGAGGCGGUGGUGGUGGAGCAGAGAAAGAGAACGAGAAGGGUUAGUCAAAGUGUGGAUUGUUCUGAGACGGAGGAGGAAAGCCAUGGCUGAAGAAGAAGAAGAAGAGGAGGCACCAGCUGUCAUGUGAGAGUGGUGAAGAAGAAAAUGAAAAUGUGAGAUCCUAUGCUACAAUACAAAACUGUAAUAUUUUCAAGAAAAUACCUAAACUAGG
This 782-nucleotide long non-coding RNA is filed under the name Lotus japonicus. Its description in RNAcentral is "long non-coding RNA (LJAP_LNC000731)". Lineage: Eukaryota; Viridiplantae; Streptophyta; Magnoliopsida; Fabales; Fabaceae. The record is from RNAcentral.